RNAcentral lists this long non-coding RNA (621 nucleotides) under Vigna radiata. RNAcentral's name for it is "long non-coding RNA (VRAD_LNC003936)". Lineage: Eukaryota; Viridiplantae; Streptophyta; Magnoliopsida; Fabales; Fabaceae. The record is from RNAcentral.
AGUUGACGUGUUCUUGUAAGUCUCGAGUGCCUCUAUAAAAUUCACCCAAAAUUUUCCAAGUUUUAUAAAUACUCAUUCAGGUCCCUGAAAACGUGCAUGUGCUACAAUAUUCACUAGGUUGAAUGUUUAUUACAAACUUCGGACAACUUUGCUUAUUUUUCUGAUAAAUGGCAGCAAUUUUGAAAAUAAUAAGCUGUUGUAUUAUUCAGAGGGUUUUUCAGAAAGGCCACAAGCAGUGCAGAGCAUUUUAUGUCGACCGGAACAAUUUUUUAAGGUAAACAGUGUUCGGUUGUUUUUAUUUUUACAAAUAUUUAAUGCAGAUACUUUCAUUUUGUGUAUUUUCAAGUUCUACGCUCAGCAUUUUAUUUUUUUUUCUCAACUAGCGCAAUACCCUUGCCUAUGCACAUUAGAAAUCAAACAAGAUGAAAGAUAAAGAAAAUUCUGAUAUAUUUUCAGCCUCUGAUACUUAUAUCACAACCUCUAAUGUAUCACAACCUUCACAUGAAAUGUACAAUGCAGUUAAAUUAAAUUUUGUCUUCAUACAAAAUUUGGGUUUCAAUCUGCAGCCUCUGUCAAGAUGCUCCGUGUGGACUUCAGCCAGCCGAUCUCGCAAAAAGUCCA